This 894-nucleotide ribosomal RNA is filed under the name Haloferax sp. RNAcentral's name for it is "bacterial SSU rRNA". It matches the Rfam family "Archaeal small subunit ribosomal RNA", at positions 58 to 952 of the family's 1478-position model. The record is from RNAcentral. Lineage: Archaea; Methanobacteriati; Methanobacteriota; Halobacteria; Halobacteriales; Haloferacaceae.
UUGCACGAGUUUAGACUCGUGGCGAAAAGCUCAGUAACACGUGGUCAAACUACCCUACGAAGACCCAUAACCUCGGGAAACUGAGGCUAAUAGGUCAUAGGAGAGUCACGCUGGAAUGCCGACUCUCCCAAACGCUCAGGCGUCGUAGGAUGUGGCUGCGGCCGAUUAGGUAGACGGUGGGGUAACGGCCCACCGUGCCGAUAAUCGGUACGGGUUGUGAGAGCAAGAGCCCGGAGACGGAAUCUGAGACAAGAUUCCGGGCCCUACGGGGCGCAGCAGGCGCGAAACCUUUACACUGCACGCAAGUGCGAUAAGGGGACCCCAAGUGCGAGGGCAUAUAGUCCUCGCUUUUUCCGACCGUAAGGUGGUCGGCGAAUAAGGGCUGGGCAAGACCGGUGCCAGCCGCCGCGGUAAUACCGGCAGCCCAAGUGAUGACCGAUAUUAUUGGGCCUAAAGCGUCCGUAGCCGGCCAUGAAGGUUCAUCGGGAAAUCCGCCAGCUUAACUGGCGGGCGUCCGGUGAAAACCACGUGGCUUGGGACCGGAAGGCUCGAGGGGUACGUCCGGGGUAGGAGUGAAAUCCCGUAAUCCUGGACGGACCACCGAUGGCGAAAGCACCUCGAGAAGACGGAUCCGACGGUGAGGGACGAAAGCUAGGGUCUCGAACCGGAUUAGAUACCCGGGUAGUCCUAGCUGUAAACGAUGCUCGCUAGGUGUGGCACAGGCUACGAGCCUGUGCUGUGCCGUAGGGAAGCCGAGAAGCGAGCCGCCUGGGAAGUACGUCCGCAAGGAUGAAACUUAAAGGAAUUGGCGGGGGAGCACUACAACCGGAGGAGCCUGCGGUUUAAUUGGACUCAACGCCGGACAUCUCACCAGCUCCGACUAUAGUAAUGACG